This 493-nucleotide ribosomal RNA is filed under the name uncultured bacterium. RNAcentral describes it as "bacterial SSU rRNA". It matches the Rfam family "Bacterial small subunit ribosomal RNA", at positions 9 to 502 of the family's 1533-position model. The record is from RNAcentral.
GAGUUUGAUCCUGGCUCAGGAUGAACGCUGGCGGCGUGCCUAACACAUGCAAGUCGAGCGAAGCGCUAUACUUGAAUUCUUCGGAAGGAAAGUAUUGUGACUGAGCGGCGGACGGGUGAGUAACGCGUGGGUAACCUGCCUCAUACAGGGGGAUAACAGUUAGAAACGACUGCUAAUACCGCAUAAGACCACAGCACCGCAUGGUGCGGGGGUAAAAACUCCGGUGGUAUGAGAUGGACCCGCGUCUGAUUAGCUAGUUGGUAAGGUAAGGGCUUACCAAGGCGACGAUCAGUAGCCGACCUGAGAGGGUGACCGGCCACAUUGGGACUGAGACACGGCCCAAACUCCUACGGGAGGCAGCAGUGGGGAAUAUUGCACAAUGGGGGAAACCCUGAUGCAGCGACGCCGCGUGAGUGAUGAAGUAUUUCGGUAUGUAAAGCUCUAUCAGCAGGGAAGAAAAUGACGGUACCUGACUAAGAAGCACCGGCUAAAU